AACGCGAAGAACCUUACCUGGGCUCGAACGACUGGUAGUAGUCCCGAUGAAAGUUGGGGCGACCCGCAAGGGAGCCAGCCGAGGUGCUGCAUGGUUGUCGUCAGCUCGUGUCGUGAGAUGUUGGGUUAAGUCCCGCAACGAGCGCAACCCCUAUCCUGUGUUGCUACCCGCAAGGGAGGACUCUCAGGAGACUGCCGCGGAUAACGUGGAGGAAGGUGGGGUCGACGUCAAAUCAUCAUGGCCUUUAUGUCCAGGGCCACACACGUGCUACAAUGGCGUAUACAGAGGGAAGCAAGACCGCAAGGUGGAGCAAAUCCCUAAAGUACGCCCCAGUUCAGAUUGUGGGCUGCAAUUCGCCCACAUGAAGGCGGAAUCGCUAGUAAUCGCAGAUCAGCAGGCUGCGGUGAAUACGUUCCCGGGCCUUGUACACACCGUACGUC
Molecule: ribosomal RNA, 440 nt
Filed under: uncultured bacterium
Lineage: Bacteria
Description: bacterial SSU rRNA
Rfam family: Bacterial small subunit ribosomal RNA
Source: RNAcentral